GGAUUGCCCUAGUAACGGCGAGUGAAGCGGCAACAGCUCAAAUUUGAAAUCUGGCGUCUUUGGCGUCCGAGUUGUAAUUUGCAGAGGGCGCUUUGGCAUUGGCAGCGGUCCAAGUUCCUUGGAACAGGACGUCACAGAGGGUGAGAAUCCCGUACGUGGUCGCUAGCCUUUACCGUGUAAAGCCCCUUCGACGAGUCGAGUUGUUUGGGAAUGCAGCUCUAAAUGGGAGGUAAAUUUCUUCUAAAGCUAAAUACUGGCCAGAGACCGAUAGCGCACAAGUAGAGUGAUCGAAAGAUGAAAAGCACUUUGGAAAGAGAGUUAAAAAGCACGUGAAAUUGUUGAAAGGGAAGCGCUUGCAGCCAGACUUGCCUGUAGUUGCUCAUCCGGGUUUUUACCCGGUGCACUCUUCUAUAGGCAGGCCAGCAUCAGUUUGGGCGGUUGGAUAAAGGUCUCUGUCACGUACCUCCUCUCGGGGAGAACUUAUAGGGGAGACGUAAUGCAACCAGCCUGGACUGAGGUCCGCGCAUCUGCUAGGAUGCUGGCGUAAUGGCUGUAAGCGGCCCGUCUUGAAACACGGACCAAGGAGUCUAACAUCUAUGCGAGUGUUUGGGUGUCAAGCCCGAGCGCGUAAUGAAAGUGAACGGAGGUGGGAACCUUUCGGGGUGCACCAUCGACCGAUCCUGAUGUCUUCGGAUGGAUUUGAGUAAGAGCAUAGCUGUUGGGACCCGAAAGAUGGUGAACUAUGCUUGAAUAGGGUGAAGCCAGAGGAAACUCUGGUGGAGGCUCGCAGCGGUUCUGACGUGCAAAUCGAUCGUCAAAUUUGGGCAUAGGGGCGAAAGACUAAUCGAACUAUCUAGUAGCUGGUUCCUGCCGAAGUUUCCCUCAGGAUAGCAGUAACGUUUUCAGGUUUUAUGAGGUAAAGCGAAUGAUUAGAGGCCUGGGGGUUGAAACAACCUUCACCUAUUCUCAAACUUUAAAUAUGUAAGAAGUCCUUGUUACUUAAUUGAACGUGGACAGUUGAAUGUAUCGUUACUAGUGGGCCAUUUUUGGUAAGCAGAACUGGCGAUGCGGGAUGAACCGAACGCGGGGUUAAGGUGCCAGAAUAUACGCUCAUCAGACACCACAAAAGGUGUUAGUUCAUCUAGACAGCAGGACGGUGGCCAUGGAAGUCGGAAUCCGCUAAGGAGUGUGUAACAACUCACCUGCCGAAUGAACUAGCCCUGAAAAUGGAUGGCGCUCAAGCGUAUUACCCAUACCCCGCCGCUGGGGCAAGAUUUAAGCCCCAGCGAGUAGGCAGGCGUGGAGGUCCGUGACGAAGCCUGG
Molecule: ribosomal RNA, 1323 nt
Filed under: Boeremia exigua var. pseudolilacis
Lineage: Eukaryota; Fungi; Ascomycota; Dothideomycetes; Pleosporales; Didymellaceae
Description: partial large subunit ribosomal RNA
Rfam family: Eukaryotic large subunit ribosomal RNA
Source: RNAcentral